This 31-nucleotide non-coding RNA is filed under the name Rattus norvegicus (Norway rat). The record is from RNAcentral. Lineage: Eukaryota; Metazoa; Chordata; Mammalia; Rodentia; Muridae.
UACUCAGCCUAAUGAGCAUACCCGCUAGAGU